This 253-nucleotide ribosomal RNA is filed under the name uncultured bacterium. RNAcentral's name for it is "partial 16S ribosomal RNA". It matches the Rfam family "Bacterial small subunit ribosomal RNA", at positions 524 to 776 of the family's 1533-position model. The record is from RNAcentral.
UACAGAGGGUGCGAGCGUUAAUCGGAGUUACUGGGCGUAAAGGGCGCGUAGGCGGUUACAUGAGUGUGUUGUGAAAGCCCCGGGCUUAACCUGGGAAGCGCAAUGCAAACGAUAUAACUGGAGUAGAUGAGAGGGUGGCGGAAUUUCCGGUGUAGCGGUGAAAAGCGUAGAGAUCGGAAGGAACGUCGAUGGCGAAGGCAGCCACCUGGCAUCAUACUGACGCUGAGGCGCGAAAGCGUGGGGAUCGAACAGG